GACGAGCCACACGAACGUUAUUCGGAAUUACUGGGCUUAAAGGGUGCGUAGGCUGCGCGGAGAGUUGGGUGUGAAAUCCCUCGGCUCAACCGAGGAACUGCGCCCAAAACUGCCGUGCUCGAGGAAGAUAGAGGUAAGCGGAACUUACGGUGGAGCGGUGAAAUGCGUUGAUAUCGUAAGGAACACCUGUGGCGAAAGCGGCUUACUGGGUCUUUUCUGACGCUGAUGCACGAAAGCUAGGGGAGCAAACGGG
This 253-nucleotide ribosomal RNA is filed under the name uncultured bacterium. Its description in RNAcentral is "partial 16S ribosomal RNA". It matches the Rfam family "Bacterial small subunit ribosomal RNA", at positions 524 to 776 of the family's 1533-position model. The record is from RNAcentral.